UAACCCAUCAAGCAUGAGGGAAAAUGAAGCUCAGAAGCUCAAUUUCAUGGUCAUUUUCUCACUUCUACUGAUUUUCUGAGAAUGUGUUUGAGUUGUUAAUGAUGUUUGAUCAAAGCUAACACAAACAGUGAGUAGAUCUAAAGGUGAACAAGUUUGAUGAGAUAAGGAUGAGGACAUAUAGGACGUGCCAUAAUUGAUUAAACGAGAUUUAUUUAUAUUUUUAUGCCGUUGGACUUUGUUUGAAGUUGUAUGGAUUAUU
Molecule: long non-coding RNA, 259 nt
Filed under: Helianthus annuus (common sunflower)
Lineage: Eukaryota; Viridiplantae; Streptophyta; Magnoliopsida; Asterales; Asteraceae
Description: sRNA HanXRQr2_Chr17g0815391
Source: RNAcentral